Balaenoptera acutorostrata (minke whale) is the source of this 496-nucleotide long non-coding RNA. RefSeq lists it as uncharacterized. The transcript is spliced from 3 exons. The record is from RefSeq and is a predicted model, not a curated record. Lineage: Eukaryota; Metazoa; Chordata; Mammalia; Artiodactyla; Balaenopteridae.
AGCAGCCUUAGCAUCUCAUGCCUGUUUCUGGGGUCUGCGCUGAUAGCCACGGCUUACGCCCGUCUCUGGAGCUCAUUUAGGCGGUGCUCUGAAUCCCCUCUCCUUGUGCACCCCAAAACAAUGGUCUUGUGCCUGUUAGGCAGCUCCAGACUUUUUCCUGGACUCCCUCCCGGCUAGCCGUGGCGCACUAGCCCCUUCAGGCUGUGUUCACGCAGCUGACCCCAGUCCUCUCCCUGGGAUCUGACCUCCGAAGCCAAAGCCUCAGCUCCCAGCCCCUGCCCGCCCCGGCGGGUGAGCAGACAAGCCUCUCGGGCUGAAUAGUGCAUUCUAAUUGUAGAAAAUCUGAAUAACAAAGAAAAGUGUAAAACAGAAACCAGUCGAACUCUUAUCCCUCAGAGAAACUUAAUAUUAAGGUGAAUGGCAUACAAAGCUGAAUUUAUAAUUGACUGACCACGUAUGAAACACUGACAAAUGGAUCGAUGCUGAUCUGGAAGAC